UACGAAGGGGGCUAGCGUUGAUCGGAUUUACUGGGCGUAAAGCGCACGUAGGCGGAUCGUUAAGUCGGGGGUGAAAUCCUGGAGCUCAACUCCAGAACUGCCUUCGAUACUGGCGAGCUUGAGUCCGGAAGAGGUGAGUGGAACUCCUAGUGUAGAGGUGGAAUUCGUAGAUAUUAGGAAGAACACCAGUGGCGAAGGCGGCUCACUGGUCCGGUACUGACGCUGAGGUGCGAAAGCGUGGGGAGCAAACAGG
RNAcentral lists this ribosomal RNA (253 nucleotides) under uncultured bacterium. RNAcentral's name for it is "partial 16S ribosomal RNA". It matches the Rfam family "Bacterial small subunit ribosomal RNA", at positions 524 to 776 of the family's 1533-position model. The record is from RNAcentral.